GAUGAACGCUAGCGACAGGCCUAACACAUGCAAGUCGAGGGGCAGCACAAGGAGCAAUCUGAGGUGGCGACCGGCGCACGGGUGAGUAACACGUAUGCAACCUACCUGUAAGAGGGGAAUAACCCGUUGAAAAACGGACUAAUACCGCAUAACACUGUAGAACCGCAUGGUUUGACAGUUAAACAUUUAUGGCUUACAGAUGGGCAUGCGCAUGAUUAGCUAGUUGGUGAGGUAACGGCUCACCAAGGCAACGAUCAUUAGGGGUUCUGAGAGGAAGGUCCCCCACACUGGUACUGAGACACGGACCAGACUCCUACGGGAGGCAGCAGUGAGGAAUAUUGGUCAAUGGGCGAGAGCCUGAACCAGCCAAGUCGCGUGAAGGAUGAAGGUUUUAUGAAUUGUAAACUUCUUUUGCAGGGGAAUAAAGUGUCCGACGUGUCGGAUUUGUAUGUACUCUGCGAAUAAGGAUCGGCUAACUCCGUGCCAGC
Molecule: ribosomal RNA, 488 nt
Filed under: uncultured bacterium
Lineage: Bacteria
Description: bacterial SSU rRNA
Rfam family: Bacterial small subunit ribosomal RNA
Source: RNAcentral